UGACAAGAGCAAACUAAUAGAUA
Molecule: non-coding RNA, 23 nt
Filed under: Arabidopsis thaliana (thale cress)
Lineage: Eukaryota; Viridiplantae; Streptophyta; Magnoliopsida; Brassicales; Brassicaceae
Source: RNAcentral